RNAcentral lists this ribosomal RNA (242 nucleotides) under Silicimonas sp. RNAcentral's name for it is "partial 16S ribosomal RNA". It matches the Rfam family "Bacterial small subunit ribosomal RNA", at positions 1 to 272 of the family's 1533-position model. The record is from RNAcentral. Lineage: Bacteria; Pseudomonadati; Pseudomonadota; Alphaproteobacteria; Rhodobacterales; Paracoccaceae.
UCAACUUGAGAGUUUGAUCCUGGCUCAGAACGAACGCUGGCGGCAGGCCUAACUCAUGCAAGUCUAGCGCACCUUCGGGUGAGCGGCGGACGGGUUAGUAACGCGUGGGAAUAUACCCUUCACUACGGAAUAGCCUCGGGAAACUGAGAGUAAUACCGUAUACGCCCUUCGGGGGAAAGAUUUAUCGGUGAAGGAUUAGCCCGCGUUGGAUUAGGUAGUUGGUGGGGUAAAAGCCUACCAAG